UCCCUGGUGGUCCAGAGGUUAGGAUUCUGGGCUUUCACUGCUGGGGCCCGAGUUCAACUCCUGGUCAGGGAA
This 72-nucleotide transfer RNA is filed under the name Bos taurus (domestic cattle). It matches the Rfam family "tRNA". From Rfam's summary of the family: Transfer RNA (tRNA) molecules are approximately 80 nucleotides in length. Their secondary structure includes four short double-helical elements and three loops (D, anti-codon, and T loops). The record is from Rfam by way of RNAcentral. RNAcentral also lists the same sequence under 4 other names. Lineage: Eukaryota; Metazoa; Chordata; Mammalia; Artiodactyla; Bovidae.